GGUUAAGUGAAUAAGGGCGCACGGUGGAUGCCUUGGCACUAGGAGCCGAUGAAGGACGGGACUAACACCGAUAUGCUUUGGGGAGCUGUACGUAAGCUAUGAUCCAGAGAUUUCCGAAUGGGGGAACCCAACAUCUUUAAUAGGAUGUUACGAUUGUGUGAAUACAUAGCACAUUCGAGGUAGACGCAGAGAACUGAAACAUCUAAGUACCUGCAGGAAGAGAAAGAAAAUUCGAUUCCCUGAGUAGCGGCGAGCGAAACGGGAAAAGCCCAAACCAGCAAGCUUGCUUGUUGGGGUUGUAGGACUCCAAUAUGGUAGUUCUUUCAGAUAGUCGAAUGACUUGGAAAAGUCAGUCAAAGAGGGUAAAAACCCCGUAGACGAAAUGUGGAAGACACCUAGGAGGAUCCUGAGUACGGCGGAACACGAGAAAUUCCGUCGGAAUCCGGGAGGACCAUCUCCCAAGGCUAAAUACUCCCUAGUGACCGAUAGUGAACCAGUACCGUGAGGGAAAGGUGAAAAGCACCCCGGAAGGGGAGUGAAAUAGAACCUGAAACCGUGUGCCUACAACAAGUCAAAGCCCGUUAAUGGGUGAUGGCGUGCCUUUUGUAGAAUGAACCGGCGAGUUACGAUUGCAUGCGAGGUUAAGUUGAAGAGACGGAGCCGCAGCGAAAGCGAGUCUGAAUAGGGCGUUUGAGUAUGUAGUCGUAGACCCGAAACCAUGUGAUCUACCCAUGUCCAGGUUGAAGGUGCGGUAAAACGCACUGGAGGACCGAACCCACGUACGUUGAAAAGUGCGGGGAUGAGGUGUGGGUAGCGGAGAAAUUCCAAACGAACUUGGAGAUAGCUGGUUCUCUCCGAAAUAGCUUUAGGGCUAGCCUCGGAAUUGAGAAUGAUGGAGGUAGAGCACUGUUUGGACUAGGGGCCCAUCUCGGGUUACCGAAUUCAGAUAAACUCCGAAUGCCAUUCAUUCAUAUCCGGGAGUCAGACUGUGAGUGAUAAGAUCCAUAGUCGAAAGGGAAACAGCCCAGACCACCAGCUAAGGUCCCAAAAUAUAUGUUAAGUGGAAAAGGAUGUGGGGUUGCACAGACAACUAGGAUGUUGGCUUAGAAGCAGCCACCAUUUAAAGAGUGCGUAAUAGCUCACUAGUCGAGUGACCCUGCGCCGAAAAUGUACCGGGGCUAAACAUAUUACCGAAGCUGUGGAGUACACCUUUAGGUGUAUUGGUAGGAGAGCGUUCUAAGGGCGUUGAAGGCAGAUCGUGAGGACUGCUGGAGCGCUUAGAAGUGAGAAUGCCGGUAUGAGUAGCGAAAGACAGGUGAGAAUCCUGUCCACCGAAUGACUAAGGUUUCCUGGGGAAGGCUCGUCCGCCCAGGG
This 1374-nucleotide ribosomal RNA is filed under the name Enterococcus faecium. RNAcentral's name for it is "partial 23S ribosomal RNA". It matches the Rfam family "Bacterial large subunit ribosomal RNA", at positions 1 to 1379 of the family's 2925-position model. The record is from RNAcentral. Lineage: Bacteria; Bacillati; Bacillota; Bacilli; Lactobacillales; Enterococcaceae.